RNAcentral lists this ribosomal RNA (3900 nucleotides) under Triticum aestivum (bread wheat). RNAcentral's name for it is "partial small subunit ribosomal RNA". Lineage: Eukaryota; Viridiplantae; Streptophyta; Magnoliopsida; Poales; Poaceae. The record is from RNAcentral.
AUGACCUCUUCGUCCCCCGCCCCAAACCCUAACCCCGUCCCCACACCGCCCCCAAACCCCGCACCGAACGCCACUCCCGCGACCGGAAACGCGGUCGCAGCGUCGUCGCCGCCGCACAAGGACCAGCAGCAGCAGAGCCAGGACGGGGUCGUCGCUGGUGGCGGAGCGGGGGUGGAUGGUGGGGCCGGGGCCGGUGGCGAGGCGGUGGAGGCGGGUGUAGCGGGCGACGCGAUGGAGGUUGACGGCGGCGCUGGUGGAGGUGGAGGUGGGGCUGGGGAUGUGGAGGGCGGAGGUGGCAGUGGAGCGGCCGGAGGAGCGCAGCUGGCCUCGUCACCGGCGACCGUGUUCCGGAUCCGCCUCAAGCAGCCCCCUGCAAGCCUCAAGUACAAGAUGCGCGUGCCCGAGCUGUGCAGGAACUUCAGCGCUGUUGCUUGGUGUGGGAAACUGAACGCAAUUGCAUGUGCAUCAGAGACUUGUGCGCGGAUUCCAAGCUCUAAUUCAAGUCCACCAUUUUGGAUUCCUAUACACAUACUGAAUCCAGAGAGACCAACAGAAUGUUCUGUUUUCAAUGUUAGAGCAGAUUCUCCACGGGACUUUGUUCAGUUCAUUGAAUGGUCUCCUACGUCAUGCCCACGUUCAUUAUUAGUGGCAAAUUUUCAUGGGAGGAUUACUAUAUGGACACAGCCAACUAAGGGUCCUGUUAAUCUUGUACGUGACUCCAGCUCCUGGCAAUGUGAACAUGAAUGGCGUCAAGAUCUCUCUGUGGUUACCAAAUGGCUAUCUGGAAUUUCUCCGUAUAGAUGGCUUCCUGCAAACUCCAGCACUUCGAACUUAAAAACCUUUGAGGAAAAAUUCCUUACACAGCACCCUCAGAAUUCAGCAGGAUGGCCAAAUAUGCUAUGCGUUUGUUCUGUAUUUUCAUCAGGGUCUGUUCAGCUUCAUUGGUCACAGUGGCCUCCUCAAAGCUCAGCACAACCUAGAUGGUUCUCUACUAGCAAAGGGCUUCUUGGGGCAGGCCCCAGCGGCAUAAUGGCUGCUGAUGCCAUUAUUACUGAGUCUGGAGCUCUACAUGUUGCUGGUGUUCCCCUUGUUAAUCCAUCUACUGUAGUGGUUUGGGAGGUGAUGCCAGGUCUUGGUAAUGGCAUUCAGGCAACUGCGAAGAUAAAUGCAACAAGCCCUCUUCCUCCAUCUCUGAACCCCCCUUCCUGGUCUGGUUUUGCUCCAUUAGCAGCUUAUCUCUUUUCUUUGCAAGACUACCUUGUGUCUGAGGCUGCACAAACAAGAAAACAGAUAGAUAAUGAGAUCACUGAAGCCGCAUCGAUCCAUUGUUGUCCGGUUUCCAAUUUUUCAGCUUAUGUCAGCCCUGAAGCUGCUGCCCAGUCAGCAACUACUACAACAUGGGGAUCUGGGGUUACUUCAGUUGCUUUUGAUCCCACUCGAGGAGGAGGAGUAAUUACAGUUGUAAUAGUUGAAGGGCAGUAUAUGUCUCCUUAUGACCCUGAUGAAGGACCUUCCAUCACUGGCUGGAGAGUCCAAUGCUGGGAAUCUUCACUUCAACCUGUUGUUCUUCACCCAAUAUUUGGAAGCCCUUCUAGCUUUGGUGGGCAGCCUCCAAUGCAAACUGUUUGGUCCACUAGAGUUAACAAGAGCAUUACACCAACAGAGGACCUUAAAAACCCUCAAACGUAUGUUCCAAUGCCAACAACUUCAGAUGAACGGAGCUCUUCUGAGUGCAGUGUUGACAGGGCAAACAGAAUUAGUUUUGACCCUUAUGAUCUUCCGAAUGAUGUUAGACAGCUGGCGCAAAUAGUUUAUUCUGCACAUGGUGGUGAAGUUGCUGUUGCUUUCCUGCGUGGAGGAGUGCACAUUUUCUCGGGCCCAAAUUUUGAUCAGGUUGACAGCUAUCAUGUCAAUGUUGGCUCAUCAAUUGCUCCACCAGCUUUCUCCUCUAGCAGUUGUUGCUUGGCAUCAGUAUGGCAUGACACACUCAAAGAUCGAACCAUACUAAAGAUAAUACGGGUGCUUCCUCCUGCAAUUCUUAAUGUUCAGACAAAAGUCAGCUCAGCUGUUUGGGAACGGGCAAUAGCAGAUAGAUUUUGGUGGAGCUUGAUGGCUGGUGUGGAUUGGUGGGACGCUGUCGGUUGCACACAGAGUGCUGCUGAAGAUGGUAUUGUCUCACUUAACAGUGUGAUAGCUUUGCUGGAUACGGACUUCCAUUGUCUUCCAACUAUGCAACAGAGGCAGCAACACUGUCCUAACCUUGAUAGGAUAAAGUGUAGGUUGUUGGAAGGAACUAAUGCUCAAGACGUAAGAGCACUUGUGUUGGACAUGCAAGCAAGAUUGCUUCUGGAUAUGCUAGGCAAGGGAAUAGAGUCUGCGCUGAUAAAUCCAUCAACCCUGCUACCUGAACCCUGGCAAGCUUCUAGUGAAUUGUUGUCUAACAUUGAGCCUGACAAAAUGACGGUUGACCCAGCUCUACUUCCAAGCAUCCAGGGUUAUGUUGAUGCUGUUCUAGAUUUAGCAUCACAUUUCAUCACACGCUUGCGGCGUUAUGCAAGCUUCUGCCGGACUUUGGCUAGCCAUGCUGUAGGAGCAUCUUCUAGUUCAGGGAAUUUGAGGAAUAUGGUUACUAGUCCAACCAACAAUUCUCCGUCGCCGUCAAAUAAUCAAGGUAAUCAAGGUGGAGUAGCAUCUGCGACAGGGAGCUCACAAAUGCAGGAGUGGGUCCAAGGUGCCAUUGCUAAGAUUAGUAACAAUGCUGAUGGCGCUGCCAAUGCCGCACCAAAUCCAGUUAGUGGGAGGUCAUCAUUUAUUCCUAUAAGCAUCAACACAGGGACUUUUCCCGGGACACCUGCUGUCAGGCUUAUUGGAGACUGCCAUUUCCUUCAUAGAUUAUGUCAGUUGCUGCUAUUCUGUUUGCUUUUUCGGAGGAGGCAAUCACCAAGAUUACUCGCAAAUGCACAAAAAAAUCCUGAUUCUGCCAUGCAGAAAAUACAGCAAUUGAUGAACAGUAAAAUAGAGGACAGUAGUUCUGCUAUUUCUGGUGUAAGAUCUGGUCUAGGGGCUGCCAAAGUGGAAGAUGGUGCAGCUACACGUGGACAGUUGGUUCUUGGAGCAAAGGGGCUUGAAGAAAAUCCAAUGGGCAAAUCUGUUAGAAUUGGUUCUGGCAAUGCUGGCCAGGGCUACACGUCGGAUGAGGUGAAGGUUCUAUUUCUCAUAUUGGUUGACCUUUGUCGAAGGACAUCAGGCUUGCAACACCCAUUACCUGUUUCUCAGGUUGGUACUAGCAACAUAAUUAUAAGGCUGCACUUCAUUGACGGCACUUACACUGUGCUCCCUGAGGUAGUGGAAGCAUCUCUUGGUCCCCACAUGCAGAAUAUGCCGCGUCCACGGGGAGCUGAUGCUGCUGGUCUUUUACUUCGAGAAUUGGAACUGCAACCUCCUUCUGAAGAAUGGCAUAGGCGCAACAUGUUUGGAGGACCCUGGUCAGAACCAGAUGAUCUCGGUCCAUUGGAUAAUAUGCCACAUCUGAAAAUAGGUGGUCAUAUCAACCCUCACUUGUCUGACAUGGAAGAGGAGGGUAAAACUAACUUUGGGAUUCAAAGUCUUUGGCCAAGAAAGCGCCGGUUGUCUGAAAGAGAUGCAGCAUUUGGUCUGAAAACAUCUGUAGGUCUGGGAGCUUAUCUUGGCGUGAUGGGGUCUCGGCGAGAUGUCAUCACAGCCGUGUGGAAAACAGGACUUGAUGGUGAAUGGUAUAAGUGCAUUCGAUGUUUGCGGCAAACUUGUGCAUUUGCACAGCCUGGUGCCCCAAACAUGGCAAAUGAACGGGAGGCGUGGUGGAUCAGCCGGUGGACCCAAGCAUGUCCAAUGUGUGGUGGGUCAUGGGUGAAAGUUGUGUGA